UGGUUCCGGCAUCGAUGAAGAACGCAGCGAAAUGCGAUAAGUAAUGUGAAUUGCAGAAUUCAGUGAAUCAUCGAGUCUUUGAACGCACAUUGCACCCCUUGGUAUUCCGAGGGGUACACCUGUUCGAGCGUCAUUUCAACGUCAAGUUUGACUUGGAUAUGAAUCUUGUUGUGACAAGAUUUUAAUGAAAAAGGCGAUUUUUAAAUCAUCGUGAUGACUCGCAACGAUUUUAUUUGCCCAAUUGAUUUUUGAAUGAAUGUUGAUUUUUAAAUGUUGAUUUUUAAAUGUUGAUUUUUAAAUGUUGAUUUUUGAAUCAUUGAUUUUUAAAUCGACGCUCAUUUCAAAUCAUCUCAACGUUGACCUCGGAUCAGGUGGGGAUACCCGCUGA
This 388-nucleotide unclassified non-coding RNA is filed under the name uncultured fungus. RNAcentral's name for it is "partial contains 5.8S ribosomal RNA and internal transcribed spacer 2". The stretch from base 1 to 133 matches the Rfam family "5.8S ribosomal RNA", at positions 22 to 154 of the family's 154-position model. The record is from RNAcentral. Lineage: Eukaryota; Fungi.